Molecule: long non-coding RNA, 1783 nt
Filed under: Citrus x clementina
Lineage: Eukaryota; Viridiplantae; Streptophyta; Magnoliopsida; Sapindales; Rutaceae
Description: Citrus clementina (C. clementina) long non-coding RNA (CCLE_LNC005603)
Source: RNAcentral
AAGGGGUAUAAGUGAAACUUUCUCCACAAACUAAUAUUCUUUAAUUGAGAUAGAGCGUGACAUUUUUCUUUUAGAAUUAAUAAACGUUUUUUCAUAGUUACAACAAAGAGAGAUGCAAUGAUUCUCGCACGUCCCUAAAAAAAACGUGUCAUAGUUCAAAAAAUAAGAACGGAAUGUUUUGCAACAAAUUAUAAAGUACAAAAAAAUGCAUGAAUUCAACAUUUAACCAUUAAUCAAUCCCUAAAAUGUGACAGGUAAUUUCACUAAUUAUCGUUUCUUUAAUUUAUCUAAGUUAGUGGCGUAACUUGCUCUCCAUGAGCCAUGUAAAAUUAACAUGAGCUGUCCAUUUUCCCAUCCUCUCAAAGCAGGUUUAAAUUUAUUUACUUUCUGUAUAAAUUCAUGUUCUCCAUGUUUGUACCUCUUAAGUUCAUCAAGUGCUAUCUCAUAUGUAUUAGAAACUAGAAAGCAAAAGUAAUUGAGUGCUAAACUUGUAUCAUGACAAAUGUACACAUGCAACACGAAAUUAUUUUUAAAAGCUCAGCACAAGCUGCCCCACCCUCAUAUCUAUGAUCCAUAUUCUCUUGUUGAGUCUCCAUCAAAAUGUUUUAGGUGCACGUUAAUUUAUGGCUGUGCAUGAUUGUACCCCACUUAAAGUCAAGCUUUCCCUUGCGUAACGAUUAGUCUUCCAAUUUUUUCCACAAGCAUGCUCAUAAAGUUUUGUUAAGUUUUAUUAUUUGAUCAUCAUAUAGUUAGAAGACUGUGAUUGAAUAUUUGAAUUACCGUGUUAUUGACUAACAUUAUCUUUUAACUGUAAAAAGUAAAUGCCCUCAUAAUUCACACUGUUUGAGUCAAUUAUCCAAUUAAUUAAUGUGAAUACUCCAAUCUCCUGAACUUCUUUUCGAUCAGAAUCGAACUACGUGUGUAAGUUCCGAUAAGUACAAUUGUGGGCCCCCCCAAUUUUGUACCAAGGCUACACCGAAUAUUCUUAAUGCAGCCUCUAUCGCGCAAUUACUCUUCUUGUCCCUUGAACUUUUGUAGCAUUUAUAUUUUUUGAACUUUGGUGUUUGGUCGUGUUUUUUUUUUUUUUUGAAUUUUAUGAGAUUAUUACUUGGAUUAUAACUCAUAUUUCAUAAGAUUAAUACAUUAAUAUUUAUAAUUAGAUAAUUAUUAGAACUAAUUUAUAAAUCUUAUAUUCGAGGGACUAUCUUUACUCAAGUUGAGGAAGGAAAUUGAAUCUCUACAAUGCGUUGUGGGGGACUUAAACCCAUGACCUCAUAAUAGUGAUAAAUGGGUUCUGACCACUAGGCUUUAGCCUAGUGGCUGUCUGGUCAUGUAUUCGGAUUUUAAGAAAAGAUUUUCACUUAAUUUAAUUUGAUAACUUGAGCUGUCAUAUGGUAUAAAUAUUCCACGUGGAAUGAGUUAAGUUUAUGGGUUUUUAGACGGAAAAAUAUUAUCUAAAAUUAAUUUUCACCAUUACCCAAAAUUCUUCCAAAUAACUUUUUUUUUUUCAUUUAUCUUCUUCUGAAAAAGGAAAACAUAACAAAAUAAAGACUUAGUUUUAGAUCACUCCCACUUAAAUUGACUAUAUUCAAGUAAUCAUCUCACUUUUUAAAAUCUCAAUUUAUUAUGUUUUUGUUAAGAAGACAAAAAAAAAAUUAUCUCUACAACACAUUUAUUUUGUUAUAUGUACAUUUAACCACCACAAAACUUUGACAUACUUUUUACACCAUCUUUAUUUAUAAACUUGUAUCAAUCAGCCACUUUGAACUAAAAAUAACCAUUU